This 465-nucleotide ribosomal RNA is filed under the name Vreelandella stevensii. Its description in RNAcentral is "partial 16S ribosomal RNA". It matches the Rfam family "Bacterial small subunit ribosomal RNA", at positions 338 to 795 of the family's 1533-position model. Lineage: Bacteria; Pseudomonadati; Pseudomonadota; Gammaproteobacteria; Oceanospirillales; Halomonadaceae. The record is from RNAcentral.
CCUACGGGUGGCAGCAGUGGGGAAUAUUGGACAAUGGGGGGAACCCUGAUCCAGCCAUGCCGCGUGUGUGAAGAAGGCCCUCGGGUUGUAAAGCACUUUCAGUGAGGAAGAACGCCUGGUGGUUAAUACCCAUCAGGAAAGACAUCACUCACAGAAGAAGCACCGGCUAACUCCGUGCCAGCAGCCGCGGUAAUACGGAGGUUGCGAGCGUUAAUCGGAAUUACUGGGCGUAAAGCGCGCGUAGGUGGCUUGAUAAGCCGGUUGUGAAAGCCCCGGGCUCAACCUGGGAACGGCAUCCGGAACUGUCAAGCUAGAGUGCAGGAGAGGAAGGUAGAAUUCCCGGUGUAGCGGUGAAAUGCGUAGAGAUCGGGAGGAAUACCAGUGGCGAAGGCGGCCUUCUGGACUGACACUGACACUGAGGUGCGAAAGCGUGGGUAGCAAACAGGAUUAGAUACCCCUGUAGUC